RNAcentral lists this ribosomal RNA (1494 nucleotides) under metagenome. Its description in RNAcentral is "bacterial SSU rRNA". It matches the Rfam family "Bacterial small subunit ribosomal RNA". The record is from RNAcentral.
AGAGUUUGAUCCUGGCUCAGGACGAACGCUGGCGGCGGGCUUAAUACAUGCAAGUCAAACGAGCAGCCCCGACUUGUCGGGGUGGGCGAGUGGCGCACGGGUGAGUAACGCGUAGGCAACCUGCCGUAGAGUGGGGAAUAACCCCGGGAAACCGGGGCUAAUACCGCAUACCGUACCGAAUCACAUGUUUCGGUAUGAAAGCCUUCGGGCGCUCUACGAUGGGCCUGCGUUGGAUUAGCUUGUUGGUAGGGUAACGGCCUACCAAGGCUGCGAUCCAUAGCUGGUCUGAGAGGAUGAUCAGCCACACUGGCACUGAGACACGGGCCAGACUCCUACGGGAGGCAGCAGUAAGGAAUAUUGCGCAAUGGACGAAAGUCUGACGCAGCCACGCCGCGUGCAGGAUGACACCCCUACGGGGCGUAAACUGCUUUUAUGCGAGAAGAACCCCCUGGACGUGUCCAGGGACUGACGGUAUCGCACGAAUAAGGACCGGCUAACUCCGUGCCAGCAGCCGCGGUAAUACGGAGGGUCCAAGCGUUGUCCGGAUUUAUUGGGUGUAAAGGGUGCGCAGGCGGGUUUGUAAGUCAGAGGUGAAAUCCCACGGCCUAACCGUGGAACUGCCUUUGAUACUGCAAAUCUUGUGUCCUGGAGAGGUCACUGGAAUUCGUGGUGUAGCGGUGAAAUGCGUAGAUAUCACGAGGAACGCCGGAGGUGUAGACGAGUGACUGGACAGGUACUGACGCUGAGGCACGAAAGCGUGGGGAGCAAACAGGAUUAGAUACCCUGGUAGUCCACGCUGUAAACGAUGGAUACUCGGUGUUGGUCCUUUAUUAUUGGAGCGGCGCCUAAGCUAACGCAUUAAGUAUCCCACCUGGGGAGUACGAUCGCAAGGUUGAAACUCAAAGGAAUUGACGGGGGCCCGCACAAGCGGUGGAGCAUGUGGCUUAAUUCGAUGCAACGCGAGGAACCUUACCUGGGCUCGAACACUACCGGACAACCUCUGAAAGGGGGUCUUCUUCGGACUGGUAGUGAGGUGCUGCAUGGCUGUCGUCAGUUCGUGUCGUGAGAUGUUGGGUUAAGUCCCGCAACGAACGCAACCCCUAUCGUUAGUUACCAGCGGAUAAUGCCGGGGACUCUAACGAGACUGCCUGCGCAAGCGGUGAGGAAGGUGGGGAUGACGUCAAGUCAUCAUGGCCUUUAUGCCUAGGGCUGCACACGUGCUACAAUGGUCGGUACAACGGGCUGCCACUUCGCGAGAAGGAGCUAAUCCUGAAAGCCGGCCUCAGUUCGGAUCGAAGUCUGCAACUCGACUUCGUGAAGUCGGAAUCGCUAGUAAUCGCGUAUCAGCAAUGACGCGGUGAAUACGUUCCCGGGCCUUGUACACACCGCCCGUCAAGCCAUGGAAGCUGGGGGCGCCCGAAGUCCGUGACCCAACCUUAGGGAGGGAGCGGCCGAAGGUGAAACCAGUGACUGGGGCUAAGUCGUAACAAGGUA